CUCUCUCUCUGCCCUUCCCCUGCUUGUGAUCUCUCUCUCUCUCUCUCUCUCUGUGUCUGUCAAAAAUAAAUAAACAUUAAAAAGGAACAAUUCUUCCAACAUUGCUUAGGGUGAAGCUAAGUAGAUUUUAUUCAUUCAUUUAUUAAUUUUAAGUAGGUUUUGUUUAUUUAUUUUUUUAAUAUAAUUUAUUGUCAAAUUGGUUUCCAUAUCAUUUAUUUAUUUUUAAAUGUUUCUCUAUUUUUGAGAGAAAGAGAGAGAGAACGAGCAGGGGAGGGGCAGAGAGAGGGAGACAGAGGAUCCAAAGCCGGCUCUGUGCUGACAGUGUAGAGCCCGACACGAGGUUCAAACUCAUGAUCUGUAAGAUCACAACCUGAGCCGAAGUCAGAGGCUUAACUGACUGAGCCACCCAGGUGCCCCAUUAUUUUAAGUAGAUUUUCAAACAUAACUUGGAGAGGAGACAGAACAUAAUUUUUCAUAUGCUGGAUAAAUAGAGUUGAUAAUUUUGGUGGUUUUCAGUAACUGAGUAGAAAAGUUGAGACGGGUAGGUCUACUGUUACCACAGUAAGUGCUAGCUGGGGUGUGUCUAUUUUCUUGAAUAGAAGCUUGCUUCUAAAGAGAAAGAGUCCAGGGGGACUUAAUAAAUAGGCUCCCGGAUGCCCCUUUUUGAAUUUGGAGCAGGGAGGAAAGCUGGGUCACAGGCAGAUAAUCUUUGAGGGAGUUGCUGGGGAACUGGCCUUGGAAAUAGCCAGGCGAUGAGAGAAAACAUCCAAGGGAGACCUUGGCAGGUGGGAGGCAGUGGGGGUGGAGUAGCUAAUCUUUAGGGAAAUAGGAAGGGGAGCUGAUGGCUGAAGGGAGGCCAGGAAAACAUUUUUCUUUGCUUUGUCUGUGGCAGAGGCAGCUCUGAGCGCAAAUGUGUUCCGGAGUCUUUGUCUCCAUAGGCAAAGGGAGAUUCCCUGCCCCCUGCCCUUCCCUACUCACUCAGCUCCCAGUUUUCCAGAUCUCUUUCACUCCGUUUCGUGCUUGCUCUUUGAAGGGGAAAACUCUAGCUCGUCCGAUAAAUGAAGGCGUUGCAUUUUUAGAAGGCUUCUUGCAAACAUCUCUUUCCUCCGGAGUAACACAAAUGAAUUUUAAAAGAGGGUCUCUGUAAAGUCUGCCUGAAUUCCAAGGUGUGCCUAAAAUCGGGAACUGGCAACACUGCUCAUCAUCGUUCUGUGGCUCUCAAAUCAUUUGGAGACGGAGGUGAAGUUCAGAGAGGCUGGUAAGCUGCCAGAGGUGGGUGCAACAGUAUCUCCGUCUGACAUGUUCUUCUAGAACAGGUCAGCCAACUUUUCUAUAGCGAGUGGUAAAUAUUUUAGGCUUUGUGGCCCAUGCGGUCUCUGGUCCCACACAUGUAACUCUGCCAUUGUGGCAAAGCCAGACACAACCUGUAAAUGAGCGGGCAUGGCUGUCUUGGAGCGGGCAUGGCUGUGAGCUACAUUUGGUCAAUCCCCUCGCUGGAGCUUUGCCACUUCCUGUCAAGAGGUGGAGUCUAGUUCCCCUCCCUUUGAAUCCGGGGGUGGAGAGGGGGUGUAUGAUUUGUUUGUGACUAAGGGGGUGUGAAGGAAGUGACACUAUGACCUCUGAGGCCAGAUCAGAAAAUGUGAUGCAAUUUCUACCUCACUCCCUGGGACAGCUGCCUGCCUGAAGUCUGAGCCACUACGGAGGGGGUCCAGUUGUCCUGAGGCCGCCACCUGUAAGGAAGCCCACCCCGGCCAUGUGGAAAGAUCACACAGAGAAGCCUUGAGACUAUAAGGAGAGAGAGAGAGAGAGAGAGAGAGAGAUGCUGAACCAACCCCCAGUUGUUCUGGUCCUCCACCAGACUGCAGGCUGGGAGAGACCCUGAACCCGAACUCCUCAGCACAAGAUGUCCCCAAAUUCCUGGCCUAGCAACUGAGGAAUAACAAGAUGGUUGCUGUUGUUUCAAGGUACUAAGUUUUGGGGUGACUUGUUAACCUGGAAAUAAACAGAAUGUUGCCCUCAAACUAGUGAGUGGCAUAUAUGGGGUUAACCUAGGUUGUCCUGCCCACUACCCGCCCCCCCCAUGUGUUUUUUCCAUUACACGAUUGCUUCCAGCAGCCCUUUUUGGGGGGGGAAAUGUGGUAAAAUAUACAUAAAACACAAAAUUUACCAUGUUAACUAUUUUUAAGUGAGCAGUUUGAUACAUACAUUCACAUUGUUGUAUAACCAGUCUCCAGAAUUUUCGUCUUGCAGAACUGAAACUCUGUCUCCAUAAAACAACAGCUCCUGGUUCUUUCCUCUCCCCCUGCCCCUGGUGACAGCCAUUCCACUUUCUGUCCGUAUGAAUUUGACCACUCAAAGCCCGUCAUGUAAUCGGAAUCAUGUGGUGUUUGUCUCUUUUGUGACUGGCUUGUUUCAUUCGGUGUCUGUGGUGUGUGUGUGUGUGUGUGUGUGUGUGUGUGUUUAUAUAUUUGUAUAUUUUAAGCCUACACUGGUCACGGAGUCUGACCAGCAAGUAGCAAAGGUUUGUCAAGGAAAAAUGUCAGAGAUUUUAGGUCCUGUAAGUCACAGAUGCAACAUGUCCCAGGAGGGACCUUGCAGUGGCACUUCCUCUAACAAUGACAAUUCAGUGUCCUGCCUCUAAAGGGCUUUGAAGAAAGAGGAACCCAUGAAUCAAGAAUAAGAUAAGGCUGUUUGAUUUGUUUCAUCAUGCCUUGAGAAUGAAAUCACUUUCUAUCACCCGGCCUUUCAGAGCAUCAAACACAAACACUCACUGAUCCUUUAUUUCCUCUGCAUCUGUGGACUUGGUGGAAUUUCUGUGAGCAUCUGGGAAUUACAGAUGAAGCAAAACCCCUUCUGCAGGGGAUUAGGUCUGAGGAAGGUGGGCCUUACGUGCUGUUGCUUGCUUACACAGACUAACACUGAACCUUUGGGGGCUACUUUGACCUUCUUUCUCUGCCUUCCUCCCAGCCCUGACCUAAGACCAAAGGCAGCGCUGGGCCAAGGUGCACACUCUUAAAGUCGACGGCCUGGCCUUCUUCUCCGCUACACUCACCCUAAUUCUACCUACCCUGCCUGUGACACCAAGAUAGAAUGGAAGCAACCUUCUGCAAUCUCCCAGGGCCCCCAUCCACUGUUAUGGGCUGAGUUGUGUCUCCUACUCCCAACCCCAAAUUCAUAUGUUGAAGUCCUGACUCUUGGUACAUUAGAACGAGUGUAUUUUGGAGACAGGGUCUCUCAAGAGGUGAUUGAAUGAAAAUGAGGUCAUUAGGGUUGGCCCAAAUCCAAUAAGACUGGUGUCCUUAUAAGAAGGGAGAGAGGGACCUGGGGCACAUGUUCACAGAGGAAGGACCACGUGUGGACGGACACAGGGCGAAUGUGGCCGUCUGCAAGCCAAAGCGAGAAACCUCCGAAGAAACAACCUGCCCACACAUUGACCUUGGACUUCCAGCCUCCAGAACUGUAAGAAAAUACGUUUCUAUUGUUUGAGCCACACCAUCUGUGAUACUUUGUUAUGGCAGCUUCAGCAAAUUAAUACACCCACCAACAGAAGUUUCGCAGCCUUGAGGUUGGGACCUCAGCCCAGAAAUUCUGAAGGUAAUAAUCAAAAACUCAAAAGGCAAGAAAGCCUUAUAAUUCAGUUCCUCUUUCUGCAUCUUUCACAAGCGGCCUGCUGGCAGGUUUGGAAGGUGGCGCUGGAGACAGCCUGGAAUGAGCAAGCCCAGUGGGGUUGGAGGCUCCUGGCUCAGAAGAGGAGGGACUGAGAUUCAGAAGGCUUCACCCGGCUAAGGGAUCCAGCUCACAAGUUCAUCCUUACAAGGAUUUUCAGUUCUGCUAACAACACCUCUCUCUGUGGUUCUUGAAGGCUCUGGUGUAGGAAGAGUCACCAAAAACAAGCGGACGUUUCUCAGCGCUUCUCAGCUGAUGGAACUGUUCCCAGCAGCCUGGUGCUCAGCCGGAGGAGGUGGCCAGCCCUCAGCUGGGUGAUUCCAUUCCCCAGUCACUGCUUGGUCCAGGCGGCUCUGGUAUUUUUCCUCCCUUCUCCCGGGGCGGCCUCCAGAGCACCCAGACAGCCGCGGCCACAUCCCGCUGCUUCAGAAGCGGAAGUAAGGCGCAUUUAGGACCUUUCUGGGUGAGUGACAGCAUUUGAGAUGAGAUUAACAAAAUGCCAGCGCUUCGGGGAAACCAGACUUUCCCUGUCACCUCUUCUCCACCUUUCCCACAACACAGAAGAUGGGCCAGGCUGAUGUCGGUCUGUGCAUUCGGGUCGUGUCAGCCUCGAAUGUGAGACAGUGGGCGCUGGUGAGCUGGGUGUGAAAGGGCCCUUUGUGAGUGGGGGUCUCAGAGUGCUGGCACGGGGUGAACCUGUAUGCGACUGGCCACUCUGUGCUUGACUGCGCCACCGGGCGUGUGUGCGUGGCUCUGAAUGCAUCGCCCUGGGUGUGGGUCCCCUGAUGGCAGAUGCUCAGGGAGCCUCUGGAAUCUCAGAGAAAACAGUCAGGCUGGGCUGCUGGCUCGUCUUCUCUCAGCCAGUCAGCGCUUGGAGUGUGAUCACUUACCACCUGAAUCCCAUCAAGUUUAAGGUUUACCUUUCUUAGAAGGGAAACGCCUGUUUAUUUUACCUCCACAGAAACAGUUUAAUUUUUAAAGAUUCAAGAUGUCCCCAAAUGUCAUGAUCAAGGCUAAUUUUACAAGAACAGGGGAAACUAACGGAGGAAGAAUAUCCUGCUGCUUUUUAACCCAAGGGAGGGAUUGGUCAUAAUAUUACACCUGAUUUAGGCCAUGUGCACCUGAGGGCGUCUGUUAUGGGCUGAAUGUUGGUGUCCUCCCUAAACUGGUAUGUUGAAACUCUAAGCCCCUAAAGUGAUGGUGUUUAGAGGUGGGGCCUUUGGGAGGUGACUGGGUUUUCGUGAGGUCAUGGUAGGGGUCCUCAUAAUGGAAUUAGUGCCCUUAUAAGACGAGAUGCCAGUAUCUCUUUCUUUCUGUCUUACCACAUAUAAUGAUCAUGUGAGGACACAGCCAGAAGGCCACUAUCUGCCACCCAUGACGUGAGCCCUCACUAGACACUGACCCUUCUGGCACUUUGAUCUCGGACUUCCCAGACUCCAGAACUGUGAGAAACAAAUGUCUGUUGUAAGCCACCCAGACUAUGGUAUUUGUUACAGCAGCCCCCAAAGACGAAGACAGAAGCUCAGGAACAAAAUAAUCUCCGGGGCACCUAGGUGGCUCAGGUGCUUAAGCAUCCGACUCUGGCUCCAGUCAUGAUCUCACGGUUUGUGAGUUUGAGCCCCAUGUUGGGCUCUCUGCUGUCAGCACAGAGCCUUCUUCAGACCCUCUAUCCCCUUCUCUCUCUGCCCCUCCCCCACUCAUGUUUCCUUUCUGUCUCUCAAAAAAAAAAAAAAAGGCAAAAUAAUCAAAACUCCAAGAAAUAGACCACAAGGACCCAGGCAGCUUUCCCUGAAAAUGCUCCUCCCCAUUCCAAAAGGCAAA
Long non-coding RNA from Acinonyx jubatus (cheetah), 5487 nucleotides. RefSeq lists it as uncharacterized. NCBI's taxonomy places the organism in Eukaryota, Metazoa, Chordata, Mammalia, Carnivora, Felidae. The record is from RefSeq and is a predicted model, not a curated record. The transcript is spliced from 3 exons.